CUGAAAUGGACUUAUUUUUCUCCAGUCUGCUUUUAUACCAUUCUAAGUACAUGCAAAGAAUAAGGUCAUUUCUAGGUCAAGAGACAAACAAGGCAAUAAACCUCAUCCCGUGGAUUUCGGGGACUUACCAAAAUGAUCAAGAUAUCGAGCCGACUUCCUUGUUCUAUCCCAAUAUCAAAUUCCUACCUGAGCCUACUUCCCUGUCCUGGCCCAAUGUCAAAUUCCUGCCAAAUUUCUAGAAGUGACCCCAAGAGCUCUCCACAUCGGGAUGAAUCCAGGCUUUAUUGCCUGCAAUCUACCCCACUAGCAAAACACCAAACACAAGUAAGCAGCAGUAGCUCAAUCCAGAAGAAACCAUGAGGCCCCCACUGAUCGGCAUGAGUCUGCUAAUGCAGCAGCCAGAGCACCACUGGAAGUUCUUUGGUGUGGUUCUUGCUACAAAGUCACAGCAAGCAAAGAUCUGAGGAUAAAGUGAGGCACACCAAUGCCACAGCGUCAUCAGCAAAGCCCAGCAAGGCGAGCCAAUGCCAGAGUGUUGGCCACUGUCUGGUGCAUUAUACUCUUUCCAAACAUGUGUCCUCUCAAGCAAACCAGCAAAACAUCACAUGCCCUUUCACCAGACAUCUUGCAGAAAAAACACCGGAUGUCUGUUCUCCACAAAACUUCCUCUCGCAUAUCUGCUUCAGCAAAACAUCCUCUCCAUAAGAUGGCUUCCUGAAAAACAUCACAUGACACCACUGAGCCCCCCAACGAAACCGGAAAUCCCCAUUUCACGUGUGUGCUGCAGAGGGCUGAGCUGUAGAAACCACCCCAAGCCCUCUGGAGGAUUGUGAGUGAGCUCCAGACAUUGGAUAUUAUUUGUAAGGUUGGAGAUUGGUUUUGUUUUUAUUUGACUGGCUCUCCCUCUUGAAAUAAGAAAGUAUUUCAUUUAUUUUUUUUAUUUUACAGGAGGCCACAGUUGAAAAACUGAAUACUAUAAAUGAUUUUCAGGUUUUAAAGAGAAAUUCCCGAUUUUU
Molecule: long non-coding RNA, 1016 nt
Filed under: Rattus norvegicus (Norway rat)
Lineage: Eukaryota; Metazoa; Chordata; Mammalia; Rodentia; Muridae
Description: long non-coding RNA NONRATT007242
Source: RNAcentral